AUUGAACGCUGGCGGAAUGCUUACACAUGCAAGUCGAACGGCAGCACGGACUUCGGUCUGGUGGCGAGUGGCGAACGGGUGAGUAAUGUAUCGGAACGUGCCCAGUCGUGGGGGAUAACGUAGUGAAAAUUACGCUAAUACCGCAUACGAUCUAUGGAUGAAAGCGGGGGAUCGCAAGACCUCGCGCGAUUGGAGCGGCCGAUAUCAGAUUAGGUAGUUGGUGGGGUAAAGGCCCACCAAGCCAACGAUCUGUAGCUGGUCUGAGAGGACGACCAGCCACACUGGAACUGAGACACGGUCCAGACUCCUACGGGAGGCAGCAGUGGGGAAUUUUGGACAAUGGGCGAAAGCCUGAUCCAGCCAUUCCGCGUGCAGGAUGAAGGCCCUCGGGUUGUAAACUGCUUUUGUACAGAACGAAAAGGUUUCUACUAAUACUAGGAGCUCAUGACGGUGCUGUAAGAAUAAGCACUGGCUAACUACGUGCCAGCCGCCGCGGUAA
This 499-nucleotide ribosomal RNA is filed under the name uncultured bacterium. Its description in RNAcentral is "partial 16S ribosomal RNA". It matches the Rfam family "Bacterial small subunit ribosomal RNA", at positions 30 to 523 of the family's 1533-position model. The record is from RNAcentral.